GCACCCAUAGCUCAGUUGGAUAGAGCAUUUGUUUGCGGAACAAAAGGUCGUGCGUUCGAAUCGCACUGGGUGCAC
This 75-nucleotide transfer RNA is filed under the name bioreactor metagenome. Its description in RNAcentral is "tRNA-Arg". It matches the Rfam family "tRNA". Rfam says of the family: Transfer RNA (tRNA) molecules are approximately 80 nucleotides in length. Their secondary structure includes four short double-helical elements and three loops (D, anti-codon, and T loops). The record is from RNAcentral.